Molecule: long non-coding RNA, 1886 nt
Organism: Arvicola amphibius (Eurasian water vole)
Lineage: Eukaryota; Metazoa; Chordata; Mammalia; Rodentia; Cricetidae
Exons: 3
Source: RefSeq, a predicted model, not a curated record
UUCAACACUUCGCAGUAAAAUGGGAUUCGUUAAAGAGAAAGGAGAGACACGCCUGGCUUUCCCCACUGAACACAAUGUCCUAGACUAGGACUCGUCUCAUAACAGAUCUGCUUGCGGAAUCUUCUCCAUCUCCCACCACCGUGGCUGGUUGCCAGUCCUGUUGCCACUGUAGCAGGCCGAGAGGAUUGAAACUCAGAAGCUGGGAAACAUAUCUGAAGUCACAAAGCUAAGAGAAGGCUGCAUGGCAAUCUGCUUCCAUUGACCACAGACCGGUACCCCUAACGGGCUGAGAACCUGAGAACCGUAUAGCUGAAGCUAGAUUUAUAUAUGGUCUUCUAGCUCUUUGCCAACUUGAACCAGAGGCACGUGGGUCCUUUAGAAGCCAUGCUGGAAGAUGGAUCUUCAAUACUAUAAGAACUUGCCUGUGGAUCAGGUCUUGGAGAGGAGCUGAGCUGUUUCCUGACCAUCAGAAACAUGUGUUGAAGUUGAAAGAAAUUUUUCUAUUGUGUUUAAAUCCUCAGUCGUUUCUGGUUUGUCAUAACAGUCACUGCUAUUUUACUAGUGUAGAGAUCAUUAGCAACCAUUUGAACAGUGUCUCUCUGUGCUGUUUGUUUUAUCAGAAACAAUUUGAGAAUGUCUGGGCUGAACAUGGGCUCACAAUAAUUUAGUCUCUCCAGCAAAAGCCUGUGUAACUUUUUCCUGGUACUGAUCUGGCAGUCCAGUCUGACCACCAUUAUCUGUGUGUCACUUGGUUGCCAAAGUGCACUGAGCCAUCCCUCCAGCCUUAAAAGGUAGUUUUAAAUGGAAAUCAACACAAAGCCCCACCCUCAAGAAUCCUCCCAGUUCCCGAUGGAGUGUUCACCUCUGCUGCUAGUUCCCGCUCUCUGCCGCCUCUUGCUUGAGCAAAUGCAACCUAACAACUGAGGAGUAUAUUUCAAAAGCCUUUACACUAUGGGGAUGGAGGAGAGAAUAGCAAAAUGAAAAGGCUGUGCAGACCUUUUUAUCCACGAAGGGGGUCCAAUCUAUCGGCGGCAGCCAUCCUGAAGCUACUUACAGCCUGCGUUCUGGCUUUAAUUCAACGGCCUGGGACUCCCUGUCUUCAUCAGUAAAACAGGAGUUCAGUGGAAAAAAAAAAAAACACCUUUCACAGGACCUAUUUUACCAUGAGAAAUUACACAGCCUAUUUUACCAUUAGAAAUCAUUAGAGAUAACUUCUCUACAAACAACUAAGAAUGUUUAAUAAUUUAUAAUAAACUUUUUACAACGUUAACUGCUCAGACACAUCUAAAUUAGAAGACAUUAUUGAAAAGAGUAAGUCUGGUUAGGAAAGCUGAGAUGGGUUAGAAAUCAUCAUCACACAUGACAACUGUAGUUGUAUCAGUAAGAGAAAGAUGAAGUACAGCUGACAUAUCAAGUCAAGGAGCAGACUGCUAGAAUGUGGAGUCAAGUACCGGGCCGUUUUCUCUAAGUGUGAUGACAGCCAAUUUUCCGUGCUAUGCUAGUGGAGCUCAGGCAAUUCUGUGGAAGACGGGGAGGAAGGACUGUAGGGAGCCAGAACAGUUAAGGAUGACUCAAGAAAACCCACAGAAUUAACAAACCUGGGCUCUUAGGAACUCAGAGACUGAACCGACACCAGAGAGCCUGCCUGCACCGAGGUCGGCCCUCUGCAUUUAUGUUAGUUGUGUAGCUUGGUUUCCCUGUGGGACUCCUAACAGUGGGAGCAGAGGGGGGAGGGCUGUCUCUGACUCUUCUGCUGGCUCUUGGGACCCCUUUCCUCAGACUGGGUUGCCUUGUCCAGCCUUAAUGAGGGUAUGUGCCUAGCUUACUGCAGCUUGAUAUGCCAUGUUUGGUUGAUUCCCAUGGAGGCCUGCCCUUUUCUGAAGAGA